CACCCUUGCAGUCAGGCUUCACCUUCAUUGUCCUCCUUUACCAAGAACGAAGGAAAAGUUUCCAUCUGUAGAGCAUGAAAACAAACAUAGGUGGGUAGGAAAGUCAAGCAUCCUUGUCUCAGCAGUGUCCCUCAGUGGCCACAGGCUGGCCUCAAACUGCCCAUUCUCUUGCCUCAGCCAUGACUUAGACUCUUGCAACCUCAGCUUCCUCAGCCGAUGGAUGGAUGGGCUUGGUGAAGCCUAUUUCCUGAGUCGUGAUGAGUGCUGGUUGAGAUGGCCCUAGCUGCCUCUUCGGACUGUGACAGACUCACCCAACAGCAGCACCCUGAACAUUCCACAGCCAGUGGAGCACAGGGGGUUAAGGAUUCAGAACCUUUCUCUCCAACAGAGGAGAAAAUAGUGCCACUUCCGGGGCACUUGAAGGACAGAUUGCUGGGGAUGGGACUGCAAUCGGGCCUCGGAGAGGGAGAAGUGAUUGCUGCCCUCAUUAAUAUUACUGCUGGCAAAGGCUGCGUGGGACUCAAUCAGGUAAUUGAGGUCCCAAAUUUCGUUUUUAUCCAGAUGCCAAGAUUAAUCGAAGUGACUUCUUCAAAUGAAUUCUUCGGAGCUUUCCGUGUGUGUGCCUUAGAGCUGGGAACAGCAAACAAAGCGCUUUGCCAAGUACUGGUGGUCACUACUGAAAGACCAAACAUGAGGAAGUGGUGUGGAAACGCCUGGAUUUAUUAUCAGAGCAAGAUGGAAACACUGGGGCUGGAGAGAUGCCUCAGAGGUUAAGAGCAUUGACUGCUCUUCCAGAGGUCCUGAGUUCAAUUCCCAGCAACCACAUGGUGGCUCACAAGCAUCCGUUAUGAGAUCUGGUGCCCUCUUCUGUUGUGCAGAUAUACAUGGAAGCAGAAUGUUGUAUACAUAAUAAAUAAAUAAAAUCUAAAAAAAAAAAAAAAGAUGGGAACACUCAGCUCUUCCUGCUACUAUACUAUGUCUUCACUCUACCAUCAUGGACUCCAGCCCUCUGAAACCAUAAGGCAAAUUAAACACUUUCUUAUAUUUAUUUGUUUUUAUUUUUUGUAUAUGGGUAUUUUGCCUGCAUGCUUGUAUAUGUACCAUGUGUAUUCCUGGUGCCUGGAGGCCAGACAACAGCAUCGGAUCCCCCAGAACUGGAGUUAUGAGCUGCCAUGUGGGUGCUGGGAAUCAAACCUGGAUCUUCUGCAGAAGCAACCAGUUCUCUCAGCCACUGAUCAAGCUACCUUCACAGCUCCCAAUAUUCUCUUUUUUAUUAUUUCUUUUUAUUUUAUAUGUAUAAAUAUUUUGCCUGCGUGGAUGUAUGUGCACAUGUAGGCACAAAGGCUUCUUGAAGGCAGAGCUUUGGAAUGGAAGUCUCUGGACCAUAGGAGAUUAUCACACUGGCAAGGAAAUACUCAAAGUUGUGAGGUCUUCAAACACUGAGAAACCACAGAGGCAACCAGCUGAC
Molecule: long non-coding RNA, 1468 nt
Filed under: Cricetulus griseus (Chinese hamster)
Lineage: Eukaryota; Metazoa; Chordata; Mammalia; Rodentia; Cricetidae
Description: lncRNA (ENSCGRG00015037941.1)
Source: RNAcentral